AGAGUUUGAUCCUGGCUCAGGAUGAACGCUGGCGGCGUGCCUAAUACAUGCAAGUCGAGCGAACGGACGAGAAGCUUGCUUCUCUGAUGUUAGCGGCGGACGGGUGAGUAACACGUGGAUAACCUACCUAUAAGACUGGGAUAACUUCGGGAAACCGGAGCUAAUACCGGAUAAUAUUUUGAACCGCAUGGUUCAAAAGUGAAAGACGGUCUUGCUGUCACUUAUAGAUGGAUCCGCGCUGCAUUAGCUAGUUGGUAAGGUAACGGCUUACCAAGGCAACGAUGCAUAGCCGACCUGAGAGGGUGAUCGGCCACACUGGAACUGAGACACGGUCCAGACUCCUACGGGAGGCAGCAGUAGGGAAUCUUCCGCAAUGGGCGAAAGCCUGACGGAGCAACGCCGCGUGAGUGAUGAAGGUCUUCGGAUCGUAAAACUCUGUUAUUAGGGAAGAACAUAUGUGUAAGUAACUGUGCACAUCUUGACGGUACCUAAUCAGAAAGCCACGGCUAACUACGUGCCAGCAGCCGCGGUAAUACGUAGGUGGCAAGCGUUAUCCGGAAUUAUUGGGCGUAAAGCGCGCGUAGGCGGUUUUUUAAGUCUGAUGUGAAAGCCCACGGCUCAACCGUGGAGGGUCAUUGGAAACUGGAAAACUUGAGUGCAGAAGAGGAAAGUGGAAUUCCAUGUGUAGCGGUGAAAUGCGCAGAGAUAUGGAGGAACACCAGUGGCGAAGGCGACUUUCUGGUCUGUAACUGACGCUGAUGUGCGAAAGCGUGGGGAUCAAACAGGAUUAGAUACCCUGGUAGUCCACGCCGUAAACGAUGAGUGCUAAGUGUUAGGGGGUUUCCGCCCCUUAGUGCUGCAGCUAACGCAUUAAGCACUCCGCCUGGGGAGUACGACCGCAAGGUUGAAACUCAAAGGAAUUGACGGGGACCCGCACAAGCGGUGGAGCAUGUGGUUUAAUUCGAAGCAACGCGAAGAACCUUACCAAAUCUUGACAUCCUUUGACAACUCUAGAGAUAGAGCCUUCCCCUUCGGGGGACAAAGUGACAGGUGGUGCAUGGUUGUCGUCAGCUCGUGUCUUGAGAUGUUGGGUUAAGUCCCGCAACGAGCGCAACCCUUAAGCUUAGUUGCCAUCAUUAAGUUGGGCACUCUAAGUUGACUGCCGGUGACAAACCGGAGGAAGGUGGGGAUGACGUCAAAUCAUCAUGCCCCUUAUGAUUUGGGCUACACACGUGCUACAAUGGACAAUACAAAGGGCAGCGAAACCGCGAGGUCAAGCAAAUCCCAUAAAGUUGUUCUCAGUUCGGAUUGUAGUCUGCAACUCGACUACAUGAAGCUGGAAUCGCUAGUAAUCGUAGAUCAGCAUGCUACGGUGAAUACGUUCCCGGGUCUUGUACACACCGCCCGUCACACCACGAGAGUUUGUAACACCCGAAGCCGGUGGAGUAACCUUUUAGGAGCUAGCCGUCGAAGGUGGGACAAAUGAUUGGGGUGAAGUCGUAACAAGGUAGCCGUAUCGGAAGGUGCGGCUGGAUCACCU
This 1540-nucleotide ribosomal RNA is filed under the name Staphylococcus aureus M0008. RNAcentral describes it as "16S ribosomal RNA". It matches the Rfam family "Bacterial small subunit ribosomal RNA". Lineage: Bacteria; Bacillati; Bacillota; Bacilli; Caryophanales; Staphylococcaceae. The record is from RNAcentral.